RNAcentral lists this ribosomal RNA (251 nucleotides) under Chamaedrilus lapponicus. RNAcentral's name for it is "partial 28S ribosomal RNA". It matches the Rfam family "Eukaryotic large subunit ribosomal RNA", at positions 87 to 331 of the family's 3401-position model. Lineage: Eukaryota; Metazoa; Annelida; Clitellata; Enchytraeida; Enchytraeidae. The record is from RNAcentral.
CGGCGAGUGAAGCGGAAAGAGCCCAGCACCGAAUCCCCCGCCUUGACGGGCGGCGGGAACUGUGGUGUUAAGGACAGUCCAUGGGGAUCGAUCGGGGGUCCGAGUCCUCCUGAUUGUGGCUUCACCCAGAGCGGGUGUCAGGCCUCUACGGCGCCCGAUCGGUUCUCUAAGAUCGUCCUAGGAGUCGGGUUGUUUGAGAAUGCAGCCCAAAGCGGGUGGUAAACUCCAUCUAAGGCUAAAUACAGACACGA